This 971-nucleotide long non-coding RNA is filed under the name Panax ginseng (ginseng). Its description in RNAcentral is "long non-coding RNA (PGIN_LNC000553)". The record is from RNAcentral. Lineage: Eukaryota; Viridiplantae; Streptophyta; Magnoliopsida; Apiales; Araliaceae.
UCCCAUUUUCCAAAAAAUUAAAAAAAAGAAGUAAGAAGAAGAAAAAGUACUAUGUAUAUAUGCUUAUGACGGUAAGUUUAUCAAAUUGUUGUAUCAUCUCUUUUUAAUAACUGGCCCACGCCCAACUAAUAAAAUUUACAACUUCUUUUAAAGUACAGUUCGAAUCAUAUGUAUAAUUUUUUUAUAAGUGGUGAGAGUUGGGAAAGAGUGUUUAAUUGUUGUUUUCUCAGAUAUAUAUAUGUCCUGUUGUAAAUAUGUAUAGUAUAUGUUUUUGGUGUAAUAAAAGCUUAACCUUUUGAAAGAAAAUUUUUUUGGUUGAAAUCUCUAGCAUCGGCAGAAAAGACUACCCAUGAGGGACUAGGAGGGAAAAAACAUGGAGUAACAAUUAGGUACACCUACACACCUUAAAUAUUGGUUGAUCACUAAUUAAAGUGUAAACUGAACUAAACGGUUUUGAGCUUGAUUCGUAUUCGCUCAAUUAAAAGUUCGAUUCGAGCUCGGCUUUAAAUAUAAACGAUUUAAAUAUGAGAAAUUUAAAGUUUGAUAAAUUACUCGAGCAUUUUCAAAUUACAUUUUUAUGUUGAUACUCAGAUCAUAUUCGCUCGAAUAGUUCAAACUGUUCGGGUUCGACUCAGUAGCUAAACAAACUUCAAUUAAACCUUAUUUUAAACUCAAAAAAUUUUAUUAAUCAAAUUUAAAUAAUUCAAUACUCGACUCGACUCGACUUAUUUAGUCUCCUAGUUGAGACCGAAAUUAAGAGUAGUAUUAUGUGUACAAACUACAUAUAAAUAACUAUAUACACAGGUAGAGAGAAAAAGUAUUACGUGGUUUCUAUCAUUUAAAUUAUUAAUAAAAUUCGUUAAUAUUUUUAUUUUUUAACUUUUUAACUAUUCAAUUAAUGAGGUAAUAAUAUAUGUGUACAUAAAAUUAUUCAAAAACCAAUAAAGUUACAUCUGAAGAAGUAAUGGAGG